GGAGGUAGUGACAAUAAAUCUCAAUACGAAGCCUUUGGUUUUGUAAUUGAAUUGAGAACAAUGUACAAUCGUUAUCGAUAAACAAUUGGAGGGCAAGUCUGGUGCCAGCAGCCGCGGUAAUUCCAGCUCCAAUAGCGUAUAUUAACGUUGUUGCAGUUAAAAAGCUCGUAGUUGAAGUUUAGAUGGUUUGAAGGGGGUGUUAGUAUUCGUACUAUCUGCUCUCUUUGGAUUAUCGACUUCCAGGUAAGCUCAAUAAUCCCUCCGGGGACUAUCGAGCCAGACUGGUCUUUUACUGUGAGAAAAUUAGAGUGUUUAAAGCAGACUUUUAUUUAGUUUGAAUAGAUUAGCAUGGAAUAAUAAGAUUGGCUUUCAUAGUCGAUUUUUUGGUUUGUUUAUGAAAGCAAGAUUAAUAGGGACAGUUGGGGGUAUUCAUAUUCAAUAGCUAGAGGUGAAAUUCUAUGAUUUAUGGAAGAUGAACAAGUGCGAAAGCA
RNAcentral lists this ribosomal RNA (491 nucleotides) under Blastocystis sp. Its description in RNAcentral is "SSU rRNA". It matches the Rfam family "Eukaryotic small subunit ribosomal RNA", at positions 460 to 953 of the family's 1831-position model. The record is from RNAcentral. Lineage: Eukaryota; Bigyra; Opalinata; Blastocystidae.